AUAGGAACCCCGCUCCCGUGAGAC
Molecule: non-coding RNA, 24 nt
Filed under: Gossypium hirsutum (cotton)
Lineage: Eukaryota; Viridiplantae; Streptophyta; Magnoliopsida; Malvales; Malvaceae
Source: RNAcentral